UACAGAGGUCUCAAGCGUUGUUCGGAUUCAUUGGGCGUAAAGGGUGCGUAGGCGGCGCGCUAAGUCAGGUGUGAAAUUUCGGAGCUUAACUCCGAAACUGCAUUUGAUACUGGCGUGCUUGAGGACUGGAGAGGAGACUGGAAUUCAUGGUGUAGCAGUGAAAUGCGUAGAGAUCAUGAGGAAGACCAGUGGCGAAGGCGGGUCUCUGGACAGUUCCUGACACUGAGGCACGAGGCCAGGGGAGCAAACGGG
RNAcentral lists this ribosomal RNA (252 nucleotides) under uncultured bacterium. Its description in RNAcentral is "partial 16S ribosomal RNA". It matches the Rfam family "Bacterial small subunit ribosomal RNA", at positions 524 to 776 of the family's 1533-position model. The record is from RNAcentral.